GAUUUAUCGUUGGGUGGGGGAUAACCGCGGGAAACUGCGGCUAAUACCGCAUGACGCCUGUGGGCCAAAGCAGCAAUGCGCCUGACGAGGAGCCUGCGUCCGAUUAGUUAGUUGGUUGGGUAAUGGCUGACCAAGGCGAUGAUCGGUAGCUGGUCUGAGAGGAUGAUCAGCCACACUGGGACUGAGACACGGCCCAGACUCCUACGGGAGGCAGCAGUGGGGAAUAUUGGACAAUGGGCGCAAGCCUGAUCCAGCAAUGCCGCGUGGAU
This 269-nucleotide ribosomal RNA is filed under the name uncultured bacterium. RNAcentral's name for it is "partial 16S ribosomal RNA". It matches the Rfam family "Bacterial small subunit ribosomal RNA", at positions 123 to 406 of the family's 1533-position model. The record is from RNAcentral.